AGGGCGCAUACAUGCACUCGCGCCGCUUCUUCUCUCAGACUCGUCGUUGAGCCGGAGUCGGCACGCACCACCGAUACAAGUCUCGGCAGCCGUGCCUGUGACUCGGUGGAAGCUGCUGAGUGAGUAGACGGUGACGGAGUGUGUGUCUGUGUGUGUGUCUGUAGGAGCUGUGAUUGGUGUUCCCCCCCCCCUCCAACUGCCAGACGUUAUGGAACGCUAGAAGAAGGCCGUCCCACAUUUUCUUCAAACGAAAGAAGCAGAUGUUCUCGCUUUAUUUUUCAGCACCGCAGCUGCUGUGCUGUCGAGGGGCCUCGCCAGAGGUCGCGCUUCUGUGGCGCGUCUCUCUUGCGCGCACCGUGUAUCGGAGAUCACUGUUAUCGGGCCCUGUGAGCAAGAGGAAAAAAAAACGAUUUGAUUGCCUCUUGUUGGUGUCUUUCCUCGGGCUACUCGGCUCUCACCUUUAUCACCAGAAAAAUAUGCAGCGUCGUUCUUCUCAUCUCCCUCCCCCCUUUCCACCACCAUCGCCGCUCACGUGCGCUCCAAAACAACGAAAG
This 554-nucleotide unclassified non-coding RNA is filed under the name Leishmania donovani. RNAcentral describes it as "gene:unknown". Lineage: Eukaryota; Euglenozoa; Kinetoplastea; Trypanosomatida; Trypanosomatidae. The record is from RNAcentral.